GGCGAGCUAAUACCGGAUGUGAUAACUGGACGGCAUCGUUUGGUUAUUAAAGCUGGGGACCGUAAGGCCUGGCGCUUCAUGAUGAGCCCGCGGCCUAUCAGCUAGUUGGUGAGGUAACGGCUCACCAAGGCUAAGACGGGUAGCUGGUCUGAGAGGACGACCAGCCACACUGGAACUGAGACACGGUCCAGACACCUACGGGUGGCAGCAGUCGAGAAUUUUUCACAAUGGGCGCAAGCCUGAUGGAGCGACGCCGCGUGGGGGAUGAAUGGCUUCGGCCCGUAAACCCCUGUCAUUCGCGAUCAAACCUCAUUAUUUAAAAGAUGAUGAGCUGAUAGUAGCGGAAGAGGAAGGGACGGCUAACUCUGUGCCAGCAGCCGCGGUAAUACAGAGGUCCCAAGCGUUGUUCGGAUUCACUGGGCGUAAAGGGUGCGUAGGUGGUGAGGUAAGUCGGAUGUGAAAUCUUCGAGCUUAACUCGGAAAUUGCAUUGGAAACUACCU
RNAcentral lists this ribosomal RNA (501 nucleotides) under uncultured Verrucomicrobiota bacterium. RNAcentral describes it as "bacterial SSU rRNA". It matches the Rfam family "Bacterial small subunit ribosomal RNA", at positions 157 to 638 of the family's 1533-position model. Lineage: Bacteria; Pseudomonadati; Verrucomicrobiota. The record is from RNAcentral.